This 510-nucleotide ribosomal RNA is filed under the name uncultured Glomus. RNAcentral describes it as "SSU rRNA". It matches the Rfam family "Eukaryotic small subunit ribosomal RNA", at positions 569 to 1081 of the family's 1831-position model. Lineage: Eukaryota; Fungi; Glomeromycota; Glomeromycetes; Glomerales; Glomeraceae. The record is from RNAcentral.
AGCAGCCGCGGUAAUUCCAGCUCCAAUAGCAUAUAUUAAAGUUGUUGCAGUUAAAAAGCUCGUAGUUGAAUUUCGGGAUCAAUAUGUUGGUCGUGCCUUUGGUACGUACUAGCUUAUUGAUUUCUCCCUUCUGACGAACCAUGAUGUCAUUAAUUUGGUGUCAUGGGGAAUCAGGACUGUUACUUUGAAAAAAUUAGAGUGUUUAAAGCAGGCUUACGCUUGAAUACAUUAGCAUGGAAUAAUGAAAUAGGACGUUUUGAUUCUAUUUUGUUGGUUUCUAGGAUCGACGUAAUGAUUAAUAGGGAUAGUUGGGGGCAUUAGUAUUCAAUUGUCAGAGGUGAAAUUCUUGGAUUUAUUGAAGACUAACUACUGCGAAAGCAUUUGCCAAGGAUGUUUUCAUUAAUCAAGAACGAAAGUUAGGGGAUCGAAGACGAUCAGAUACCGUCGUAGUCUUAACCAUAAACUAUGCCGACUAGGGAUCGGAUGAUGUUAAUUUUUAAUGACUCAUUC